This 795-nucleotide unclassified non-coding RNA is filed under the name Hevea brasiliensis (rubber tree). The record is from RNAcentral. Lineage: Eukaryota; Viridiplantae; Streptophyta; Magnoliopsida; Malpighiales; Euphorbiaceae.
UCAAUGAGCAGUUAUGGGCCCGAGCCUCUGCUCCGCAAUUGCGUCCUCACUCUUCCAAAACUUCAGAAUCACUCGCUUCUCUUCGACCGUACGGGCGUUUGGCAUUUUGAAAGUGAUUUUAAUGCAUUAAAAGCAUAAAUUUUGCAUCCAUUUUGUUUCAAAUAGCUGUUAAUUAGGGUUCUCCGAGGUAUGUCAAAGGUGUUAUCUGUAUUUUUCACUGAUUAGUUGGAAAAAUUUUCCGCUUGUGUGGGUGACUCUAUCUGCUUAUGAUUAUGCUAUAAUACUGGCUUUAUUGGAUCUCUUACCUGUUUAAAUGACACAUUCAGGUGAGGAUUCUUAUAAAGCGUCAAAAAGAUGGAGGAGACUAUGAAGCAAUUUCAGCAAAAGCUUGAUUGAGCUUGAAACCGAUGCUGAGCACGUUCUUUUAGCCCGGCAUCAGGUUACUCAUGCCCUUCAACUUUAUUCUGUCUCUCAAAUGAAAGUCGGAUAUGUUUGUUUGCUUGCAAAAUUUGAGGGAAAAGAAAAUUAUCCAUUUCGGUUAUAUGAUGCCCCAUCACAUUUGCCCUGUGUGAGAAAGUAAACCACAGGAGGAUACAUUAACAGAAGUUUGUGAGAAUAGAAAACAAACACAUUUGGGAAAUCUAUCACAAACUCAACUCGACUAAGCUUUUAUCCUAAAAGUUUGGAAAAUCUAAGUUUUUUGUUUAAUUAAAGCUGUUGCAGACUUGCAGUUACUUUGCAUGGUCAAAUUUAUUAAAAUUAAGGUGGCAUAUUGCUAUGUAUAUGUUGCUUUUG